GAAACCUACGGGGCGCAGCAGUGGGGGAUAUUGCACAAUGGGGGAAACCCUGAUGCAGCGACGCCGCGUGAGUGAAGAAGUAUUUCGGUAUGUAAAGCUCUAUCAGCAGGGAAGAAAAUGACGGUACCUGACUAAGAAGCCCCGGCUAACUACGUGCCAGCAGCCGCGGUAAUACGUAGGUGGCAAGCGUUAUCCGGAAUUACUGGGUGUAAAGGGUGUGUAGGCGGGGCUGCAA
Molecule: ribosomal RNA, 235 nt
Filed under: uncultured bacterium
Lineage: Bacteria
Description: partial 16S ribosomal RNA
Rfam family: Bacterial small subunit ribosomal RNA
Source: RNAcentral